Molecule: ribosomal RNA, 252 nt
Filed under: uncultured bacterium
Lineage: Bacteria
Description: partial 16S ribosomal RNA
Rfam family: Bacterial small subunit ribosomal RNA
Source: RNAcentral
UACGUAGGGUGCAAGCGUUAUCCGGAAUUAUUGGGCGUAAAGGGUGCGUAGGCGGUUAGAUAAGUCGGGUGUGAAAGCUACAGGCUCAACUUGUAGUUGCGCCCGAAACUAUUUAGCUAGAGGAUGUGAGAGGAAAGCGGAACUCAUGGUGUAGCGGUGAAAUGCGUAGAUAUCAUGAGGAACACCAGUAGCGAAGGCGGCUUUCUGGCACAUUUCUGACGCUGAGGCACGAAAGCGUGGGGAGCAAACAGG